RNAcentral lists this long non-coding RNA (1223 nucleotides) under Drosophila guanche. The record is from RNAcentral. Lineage: Eukaryota; Metazoa; Arthropoda; Insecta; Diptera; Drosophilidae.
CUGAUGAUGAGCUGCCGGUCGACUCGGUUCAGUAUUGUUUCAUCUCUCGACCUCGCCGGUUGGACACCUCAUCUGUGCCGCCGCCUCUUUGUACCAAAAGUUCAAGCCAAAAAGCCCUCGGCGUUCGGGGAUUUUUUCGUGAGUUUCUGUCGUUCUUUAAUAACCGUGGGUAGACCUGUUGCUUACACAGAUAAGGCAUUCAUCACGUGACGCGAUUGUAGACGACUUACCAGCUGUCAAGGUGAGUUAACAUAUUCCACAAACACCAAUAUCGUCGGCGGCACAGGGCAGCCAAGUGUUUUAAUGAGCAAAAGUCAGAUGCGGCCAGGCGAAAAGAGAGCAUGUCAAAGUAUGUAGGAAAGAGAAAGGAAUGUAUUGGUGGGGUGUUCCAAGAAUUAUCCAGAGCGUACUGGCCCGUUUCAAAAAAGGGGUUUUCCUUUGUCACUCUAUACAAAUUUAAAAGCAGAAAGGUCGACGACCUCUUUGUGUAGAGUAUCCAAGCAGCAUUUAUGUUUGUACAUGUAUAAAUGUUUAUCUGAAUAAGAGAGAAUAUCAUUCAGUAGUUGCUAUAUUCCUUUCCUUCAUUUAAUUGAUCCAUUUGGUAUAAUAUAAUGGCAUACAAAUAAAGUCAGUCCCAAUUAGAUUCUUUCGACGGCUUCAAUAUUACCGUUUUCCGGAACAUCCCACAGAGACAGGUGCCGGCGGCGCACGUCGAUGACUGUUGUUGUUAUGGCUCUGCAGUCGUCAUGCCAAUACUGCUGACAAUGAUGUGUGUGAUUCCAUAUCUUGCAGAGCUCUACAAAUAAAUCAAAGGCCCACAGAUGUGCCGCUGGGCUGGGGGGGGAAAUACGAUGGGAACAAGUCAUUGCAUUCGGUUGUCACCAUUAGUCGGUGAUUCAUGGCUGAUAAAGCAGAAUUUGACAGAUCCAAAUACCUAGCUGCCACGCCCGGAUGAACCUCCCCGAACGUGUACCACCCAAACGGCCAAUUUACAUGUCUCCAUGGCGACACCUGACGACGAACGCACGAAACAUUCGAGAUCGUGUGAAAAAAGCUCGGCCGAAGCUUUUUAACUCCGUGUAGAAAACAGCUUCAUGUCAGUGUCAUGUAAAUACAUUCAUACUCGUAUUUUGUCGCGUUGUUAUUGUGUAGAAAACUAUUUAAAUUGUCUUUGCUAUUUUUCCGUUGGCCUUAUUUUAAAAUUUAAAUAAAUAUCAUAAAAG